GGCUUUAUAUUCAAUUUUGUGAUUUUAGACUGCAAUUCUAAAGGGGUAAAUAAAUUUACUAAAGCUU
This 67-nucleotide transfer RNA is filed under the name Lisarda rhypara. Its description in RNAcentral is "tRNA-Cys". Lineage: Eukaryota; Metazoa; Arthropoda; Insecta; Hemiptera; Reduviidae. The record is from RNAcentral.